Molecule: long non-coding RNA, 438 nt
Organism: Vitis riparia (riverbank grape)
Lineage: Eukaryota; Viridiplantae; Streptophyta; Magnoliopsida; Vitales; Vitaceae
Exons: 2
Source: RefSeq, a predicted model, not a curated record
AGGGUAAAGGAAGCAAAAAUUGACGAUCAUGUGGAAGAACAUUUGGGGUGUGACUUGAAUACCAUCAUCCAUAAUACAGCUUUGGAGAAGGUAUGCGAGAUUUCCUUCUUUUGAGAAGUUGCACAGAUACCAUCCUUGGCACAGAGACGCUAGCUAAUGAUAUUUCCUUCAUUUAAAUUAAAUAGAAGAAGGUUUUUCUCUCUAAGUGUCUUGAUUUUUUUUCAAUAAAUAAGCUAGAUCUUUUGUAUGCUUUGCUCUAAAGCUUGAUAUUUCUAGAUUGCUACAAUUCAACUCUCCAUGAUUUAAAUUGUUAGUGAAUUUAGGAAACUUUAUUAGUAUUAUUCUUGCCUAUAUGUAUUGAUAUUAAGCAAUGAAUGUGUUGUUGAGGAUAUUUUAUAUCCAUUAACUUCAUAAAUAUUUUGUAACCAAUUCCUAGUA